ACAUUUUCUUUAUUUAUUCCAGUUCAGAGGAGAUCUUUUGCCAUCUACUGAUUUUACAAGUAGUUUCUUUGAUUAUCAUAUCAUACAGAUUCAAUUACCACUUGCCAGGAUUUAUAAAAAAAAUCAUAUCAGAAAUGUUUAGAAAUUGUUUAUUUAGAUAUUUUUCAUUAAAUCAUUUCAGUGUAAACGUAAUGUUAAACAAAUCGAAAGAACAUGAAUAAAAAUCAUAAUUUAAUGAUUUAUAUCUUAAGUAAACUAAAAACAGAACGUCACAGAAAUAAAACUCGGGAGGUUUUCAAUCACAUUUUACAUUAGCGUCAACCGCGCAUGUGCAAAGCCAAUUAUUGCGCAAUCGGUGUUUUCGCUAAAACCUGACCCGGAAAUUUAGCAUAUUUUAUACGCGUCAAUGCGAAGAAAAGAAAGAUUAACCAAAUGAAAUAUUAGCAUAAAUGGGUGGGAUUAAGUCCAAAUAUGGCGUAUAUGACCUACAUAUUAUAUAAAUGCUGAUUUUUAGUAGGGAGAAUAAGGUUUGAAAACUAAACAAAUCGCGAUUUUGUUGAAAACGGCCAUAUACGCGGAUCUUUCUGUGGUUUUAAUGAAGUUUGAUCAUCAUUCUAAAUAAAAUGGGUAACAUUUACACCGUAUUUAACCGUAAUAUAUGUGAAUUUAGGUUAUUUUCAAUAUUGGUGCGCGACCGCGAGGGGAGUUAAGAAUGGAUAAAAUUACCUCCCCUGCCAAUCGAGCACUUACUAAUGUGGACGUUUCCGGAACGAUUGCAAACAAAAAUUAAUGCGUAUUACUUCGUAAUUGCAACAGCGAUUUGUAUCUGGUAGAUGACAAUAUUGCCGUUUGGUGCAGGUUGGUUAUAUUGAGUUAUUGCAUGUAUGCAUUUAUUGAAUCUUAUUUGUUUGUCUGAUAAAUUGAUGCAUUUUUGUGAUAUCCUUUUCGUACUCAAAAUCGUCGUACUUUUCAUACAUUUUUUUGCAAUCGAUGUUAAAUAUAUAAUCUAAAAAAAGCAAAACUAAUUUAAGGCAAGGCUUUCUUCUCAUUUAUCAUGCACAAAUAUUGGUUCCAGUGUCAAACCUGAAAGUAAUGUGUAUAACUGAGUUAACAAAUGGUUUUGUUUAAAAAAUAAGUGCAUUUGUAUUCAAUUCAUUUUCAGAAGAAACUCACUGACUCCGUGACAGAGUGUGUCCGCCUCGGGCUGGUUCAACUUUGAUGGCAAAGAAUAUAAAGGAUUUGUUAUAUCAGUGGUUCCCAGCUUUGGAGAAUGGUAUAAUGUUAAAUAUGACAAUGAUGAUGCUAUUUAUGCAUAUAACUUAUGUCAGGAUUACAAACAAGGUAUUUCUGUCUUGGCGCGGCGCACUUCGAUUCAUCUUAGCAGCAUACUAAGAAGUUGCCUGGUCCAAUAAAAGAUACGGGAUAGGUAUUUCUGUCUUGGCGCGGCGCACUUCGAUUCAUCUUAGCAGCAUACUAAGAAGUUGCUUGGUCCAAUACAAGAUACAGGAUAGGUCAGUGAUGGUUAUAGAAGCAGUCAGGAGUGAAUUGUGCACUGGAAAAACAUUCUAGAGUGGAAUAAAAAACUUGGGUCAGCUUUUUGUGAAAAGUGAAAAAAGUGACUUUCCGAAUGUUGAUUUUUUGCAUAAUCUGGAGUUGUUAAAUUCUAUGUGCUUUGACAUAACAUAAUAAAAGUAUACAUUUUUGUUAUAA
Mya arenaria is the source of this 1710-nucleotide long non-coding RNA. RefSeq lists it as uncharacterized. NCBI's taxonomy places the organism in Eukaryota, Metazoa, Mollusca, Bivalvia, Myida, Myidae. The record is from RefSeq and is a predicted model, not a curated record. The transcript is spliced from 3 exons.